Molecule: ribosomal RNA, 253 nt
Filed under: uncultured bacterium
Lineage: Bacteria
Description: partial 16S ribosomal RNA
Rfam family: Bacterial small subunit ribosomal RNA
Source: RNAcentral
UACGUAUGGUGCAAGCGUUAUCCGGAUUUACUGGGUGUAAAGGGAGCGCAGGCAGCGCGUUAAGCCUGGUGUGAAAGCCCGCGGCCCAACCGCGGGACUGCAUUGGGAACUGGCGCGCUGGAGUGCCGGAGGGGUAGGCGGAAUUCCUAGUGUAGCGGUGAAAUGCGUAGAUAUUAGGAGGAACACCAGUGGCGAAGGCGGCCUACUGGACGGUGACUGACGCUGAGGCUCGAAAGCGUGGGGAGCAAACAGG